RNAcentral lists this non-coding RNA (25 nucleotides) under Cricetulus griseus (Chinese hamster). The record is from RNAcentral. Lineage: Eukaryota; Metazoa; Chordata; Mammalia; Rodentia; Cricetidae.
GGGACUCAGAGAAGACAGCUCCUGG